Molecule: long non-coding RNA, 1817 nt
Organism: Papaver somniferum (opium poppy)
Lineage: Eukaryota; Viridiplantae; Streptophyta; Magnoliopsida; Ranunculales; Papaveraceae
Exons: 3
Source: RefSeq, a predicted model, not a curated record
UUUCGCGUUUCCUCCUGUGAGCCCUAAUGAAACCCCAAAUCCUUUUCCCUCUUUUGGAGAAAGUUCUGAAACCGUUCAAAUGAAAACCUAUGUUCUUCAUCACUGUCCUGCAUCUUCUCGAUUGAAAAACCAAUAUCAAUAUCUAACCCCUAACCCUAGAGUUACUUAGAACAGAUUUGAUGUUCCUGCUGCUGAACAAGACGAACCAAGCAAAUAAUUUUAUAUCUGAAACUCACUAAUCUCGUAUAACAGAUUUACAGUUUUUGUUAUAUUUCUGAACAAAUCGAGUAAGUGGUUCGAUUCUAGCACUGGUGGUGGUGAAAAAGAACUCAAUAUCUUCAAACAAAGAAUCGAUUCAUUGGUAGUCUGUGUUGUCAAUGAUAAAAUCCUUUUCGCGAUUAAUUGGGGUUGCGGUUUACUUAAACUGGUAUUAAUUGUGAUUCUUGAUGAUGAUGGUGUAGUGGUGGUGAUGAAGAAGAAGAUGACUCAAGACUCAGUUUUCUAAGAAGAUUGCUCUUCACCGUGCUUGCCCUUAAAAGUUGGGGAUUUAUACCUUAAACAUUUCAGUCUAUGUCUGUCAGUCAAUAUUGUUCUUCAUUGCAGGAAGACCACCUUGGUGUCUGUCAUUCGAGCAUUGUACGUAGUUUGUGCUUGAAAUUAACAUGUAUGAUUGAUUUUUGGGGGUAGCCUGUGAUGUUAAAUCACUGAAAAUUGAUCUUAUGAGCUUUCUCAAGAGUCAUGGAAAUAAAAUACCCAUCACCCGAUUUCAGAUUUUAUUGCUCGUGUUUGUUUAAGAAUCUCCAUAUUUCCUUUGUCUUUAUAUAUUUUUGCCUGAUUGUUCUGCGUCUUUUUUGGGUUAAGCUGAUGUUUGUAUUCGCUCUAGUUGCGUGCAUUACGGCUGGAAUGGCGUAUUUCCAAAUGGAGAAUGGAAUGAGUGUAUGGUUGAGAAGAAUGUAUGAAUGUCAAGCUGCAGAAUGGAGUGAGAAGGUACUUGAAACAUACUUAUUUGGGCUGAACUUGUUGUUGCCUUUUUCCAGGUAACCUCAUGUGUUAUAUGUACACACUUUGUCAGUCACAUAUUUGUUUUGUGUGAUUCUAUUGACAAAGGCUGAAGCUGCAGAGAGGCCAUAACUUAUUUCUGGACCUGAUGGAGAGGUACCUGCGCAGUCAGUGAUGCUGUUCACAUAUUUCAGUUACGAACGGAUGAGGAGAUGAGGCGACGGGUUUUUCCAGAAAAAAAACUCCAGAGAAUCUCUUGCUAUGUCUAAUAUAGAGGCAUGAAUAAUGUUGCUUAAUCUAUGUUUAUUGAUCUUUCAUAUGUGAUUUGAGUUAUUAUAAAAUGGAGUUUUGAUCAACUCUUGAUUUGGAUCAGGAAAUAUGGGAUGAAAUUGGGGAGAGUGAUACUGGAAUAGAUAAACUGCUUGUGCAACUUGAACAAGAAUGCUUGGAGUUAGAUAUUUACACAAGAAAAGUUGAAAAGGCUUCUAAAUACAAGGCUGACUUGCACAAGUCUCUGGCUGAGGCAGAUUAUGAAGUUGCUAAUCAAAGGAUAAGAACCCUGGUCUUUUCAAGACAUGGUACUCACCAUUGGAGAAAAACUUAUCCAUCUAUCAAGUGUCAUUUCUGAACAUAUAUCCAGUUCAUUGUCUAGAAUGUAAAGCCACAACUGUUGAAUGUUUCUGUUUCAUUUAUUGAGGAAGUAAUGAAAUAGGUUUGGUGAAAAUUAUUUGGUUCAGACAGUGCAUUUUUUCUAUGUACGUCACUUGAUCUCUCCAAUUUGGAAAACUGAGACUGAUCUAUCAUGCAUGUUUCAUUGC